CUCACUGCUGGCACGGCAGCGGCCCCGCACCUGCCCGCGGCCCCUCCGCUGCUCCCGGCCCGCUCCGCUCCCUCCCUCCGCUGCUCCCGGUCCGGCCCGCUCCGCUCCGCUCCCUCCCUCCGCUGUUCCCGGUCCGGCCCGCUCCGCUCCCUCCCGCCGCUGCUCCCGGUCCGGCCCGCUCCGCUCCGCUCCCUCCCGCCGCUGCUCCCGGUCCGGCCCGCUCCGCUCCGCUCCCUCCCGCCGCUGCUCCCGCUCCGCUCCGCUCCGCUCCCUCCCGCAGCAGGAGCGGCCCCGGCCCGGUGCUUUACCUGCGCUCCGGGGGCUCCGCGGGGCCGGCCCGCGGCUCAUGGCGGUGCGGGAGGGACGGGCGUGAGCGGCAACUCCGAUCCAGCGCUGCUCUCAGCGUCCCGCGGCCAAACCCCAACUAAUCCUCCGCGGGGAGCCGGCUCCGCGGGCCGGGAGCGCGGGCCGCCGGGCGGGCAUCCUUCACGGGGCCGCCGAGCUCCUUCCCCGCUCCCGCAAGAUGGUUCCCGGCAGGAGCGAGGCGUGCGGGGAGCGCGGAGCUGGCGCUACGCGAGCGGCAGCAGGACAAAGAAAACCAUGUGCGGCGGCGGCCGGGGGCAGCGGCGGCACCUCCGGCUGCGGGGCGGUGCGGGGCGGUGCGGCCGCGGCGCCUCCUCCCUCCCUCCGCGGCUCCAGCGCCGGCGGCUGCGCGUCCCUUCCUUCGGGCGGCUUUUUGGGUUCCCUUCCGCCGUUUGCCGGGGCGUUUGGGGGGGGUUGAUUGUUUUUGUUUUGCUUAAAAAGUCAUGCCCGUCCUCUCCCGAGCCAAAGCGGGCUCCCGCCGGGCGCCGUCCCUCCCGUCGCGGCUGCGCUCAGGUGAAUUCCAUGGGGGAGAGGCGGCGGCCCGGCCCCGGCCCCUCCGAAACAGCCUCGCAAGCCUGUAAUCCCCGCGGGGCGGCCGCUCCGCUCCGCCCGGCCCGGCUGCAGCCGCCGGCCGGACCCCUCUCGCCGCCCGGCUCCGCUCCGCACUGCGCG
Molecule: long non-coding RNA, 1035 nt
Filed under: Parus major (Great Tit)
Lineage: Eukaryota; Metazoa; Chordata; Aves; Passeriformes; Paridae
Description: lncRNA (ENSPMJG00000018876.1)
Source: RNAcentral